Molecule: ribosomal RNA, 437 nt
Filed under: uncultured bacterium
Lineage: Bacteria
Description: bacterial SSU rRNA
Rfam family: Bacterial small subunit ribosomal RNA
Source: RNAcentral
AACGCGAAGAACCUUACCUGGGCUCGAACGGCUUCUUAACGGAGGUGGAAACAUCUCUAUCCCGCAAGGGAGUGGAGUCGAGGUGCUGCAUGGCUGUCGUCAGCUCGUGUCGUGAGAUGUUGGGUUAAGUCCCGCAACGAGCGCAACCCUCGUCCUGUGUUGCCAUGCCCGCAAGGGCGGAACUCGCAGGAGACCGCCAGCGAUAAGCUGGAGGAAGGUGGGGAUGACGUCAAGUCCUCAUGGCCUUUAUGUCCAGGGCUACACACGUGCUACAAUGGCCGGUACAAAGCGUUCCCAAGCCGCGAGGUGGAGGCAAUCGCAGAAAGCCGGUCUCAGUUCGGAUUGCAGGCUGCAACUCGCCUGCAUGAAGCUGGAAUCGCUAGUAAUGGCGGAUCAGCAUGCCGCCGUGAAUACGUUCCCGGGCCUUGUACACACCG